CCAGACUCCUACGGGAGGCAGCAGUGGGGAAUAUUGCACAAUGGGCGAAAGCCUGAUGCAGCAACGCCGCGUGAAGGAAGAAGGGUUUCGGCUCGUAAACUUCUAUCAACAGGGACGAAAGAAAUGACGGUACCUGAAUAAGAAGCCCCGGCUAACUACGUGCCAGCAGCCGCGGUAAUACGUAGGGGGCAAGCGUUAUCCGGAUUUACUGGGUGUAAAGGGAGCGUAGACGGCGAUGCAAGCCAGAUGUGAAAGCCCGGGGCUCAACCCCGGGACUGCAUUUGGAACUGUGUGGCUGGAGUGUCGGAGAGGCAGGCGGAAUUCCUAGUGUAGCGGUGAAAUGCGUAGAUAUUAGGAGGAACACCAGUGGCGAAGGCGGCCUGCUGGACGAUGACUGACGUUGAGGCUCGAAAGCGUGGGGAGCAAACAGGAUUAGAUACCCUCGUA
Molecule: ribosomal RNA, 447 nt
Filed under: uncultured bacterium
Lineage: Bacteria
Description: bacterial SSU rRNA
Rfam family: Bacterial small subunit ribosomal RNA
Source: RNAcentral